Molecule: ribosomal RNA, 468 nt
Filed under: uncultured bacterium
Lineage: Bacteria
Description: partial 16S ribosomal RNA
Rfam family: Bacterial small subunit ribosomal RNA
Source: RNAcentral
GACGAACGCUGGCGGCGUGCUUAACACAUGCAAGUCGAACGGAAAGGCCCUGCUUUUGUGGGGCGCUCGUUUGGCGAACGGGUGAGUAACACGUGAGUAACCCGUCCUUGUCUUUGGGAUAACAUUAGGAAACACGGGCUCAUAUCCGAUAUAAGCUCCUGCUCCACAGUGUGGGUUGGUAAGAUCCGGCGGUUGGGGAUGGACUCGAGGCUUAUCAGCUUGUUGGUGAGGUAGUGGCUUACCAAGGCUUUGACGGGUAGCCGGCCUUAGAGGCUGGCCGGCGACAAUGGGACUGAGAUACGCACCAGAAUGCUACGGGAGGCAGCAGUGGGGAGUAUUGCGCAAUGGGCGGAAGCCUGAUGCAGCAACGCUGCGAGCGGGAUGCCGGCCUUCGGGUGGUAAACCACUUUCGAAGGUGACGAAGCGUGAGUGACGGUACUUGGUAAAGAAGCACCGGCUAACUACGUG